AGUGAACGCUGGCGGUAGGCCUAACACAUGCAAGUCGAACGGCAGCACAGUAAGAGCUUGCUCUUACGGGUGGCGAGUGGCGGACGGGUGAGGAAUACAUCGGAAUCUACUUUUUCGUGGGGGAUAACGUAGGGAAACUUACGCUAAUACCGCAUACGACCCACGGGUGAAAGCAGGGGAUCUUCGUACCUUGCGCGAUUGAAUGAGCCGAUGUCGGAUUAGCUAGUUGGCGGGGUAAAGGCCCACCAAGGCGACGAUCCGUAGCUGGUCUGAGAGGAUGAUCAGCCACACUGGAACUGAGACACGGUCCAGACUCCUACGGGAGGCAGCAGUGGGGAAUAUUGGACAAUGGGCGCAAGCCUGAUCCAGCCAUACCGCGUGGGUGAAGAAGGCCUUCGGGUUGUAAAGCCCUUUUGUUGGGAAAGAAAAGCAGCAGGUUAAUACCCCGAUGUUCUGACGGUACCCAAAGAAUAAGCACCGGCUAACUUCGUG
Molecule: ribosomal RNA, 492 nt
Filed under: uncultured bacterium
Lineage: Bacteria
Description: partial 16S ribosomal RNA
Rfam family: Bacterial small subunit ribosomal RNA
Source: RNAcentral